UACGGAGGAUGCGAGCGUUAUCCGGAUUUAUUGGGUUUAAAGGGUGCGUAGGCGGCUUUUUAAGUCAGCGGUGAAAUUUUGCAGCUUAACUGUAACAGUGCCGUUGAUACUGGGGAGCUAGGAUUUGGUUGCUGUGGGUGGAAUGUGUGGUGUAGCGGUGAAAUGCUUAGAGAUCACACAGAGUAUCGAUUGCGAAGGCAGCUCACAAAGCCAAGAUUGACGCUGAGGCACGAAAGUGUGGGGAUCAAACAGGAUUAGA
RNAcentral lists this ribosomal RNA (259 nucleotides) under uncultured prokaryote. Its description in RNAcentral is "partial 16S ribosomal RNA". It matches the Rfam family "Bacterial small subunit ribosomal RNA", at positions 524 to 782 of the family's 1533-position model. The record is from RNAcentral.